GCCACAGCCCCCUUGCGGAGGGGUGUUCCCCAGUGGACAGUCGGGCACUGUCCCCAGAAGAAGGCACACCUGGUGGGGGCAACUGAGGGGAAGGGACAUUCUCAGGGACGUGCAGGGGCUGCAGGCUCUCUCAGGACGCUCCGUUCCCAAAGGCCUCAGUCAGCGCUGUCUCUUCCCAGCAGCACCCAUCUCCUCUCCGGUGUUCUCGUCCCGUGCCAGCAGGGAACGGCGUGAUUAAGGCUCCAUUAUUAACUUGCCAAUCUUGUUUCUGGGGCACAGACGCUGGCGGCUUAGGGGACCCAGUUGGCGUAUAACGAGGUCUCCAUGACAAAUUACUUGAGUAUCAAUUAACCAUCUAGGGAAGUGUCAGGCGGGAUCCGUCGUGCUGGCGGCGAGGGGCAGCCAAUUAGCCCAGAGCGCUUCAUCGGGCCCACGUGACCGCCUGCCGCAGCCUCCAGCAGGGCCGGGAAGGGAAGAAAGGCCUGGGGUGCAGCCUCCGUCCCCGGGACGCACUUGGGCAGACACCCCGGGCGCUCAGCACACGGCCUUCGCCUUGCAGCUGCCUGUCCAUUCCCUCCUUCACUCCACAGCCACCUGCUGGGUCAGCCCUGACCUGGUCCCUGCUGGUCAGCGGGCGGGACAGUGCUGGGAAGGACAGCUGCGCAGACAGGCAUCCUUGAGUCGUGUGGUCUCCACCACGGGCUGCUGAUGAAUCAGAGCACCCUCAGGGCGGGAGGAGGGACGGGAGAGGGCGGGGCAGGGAGGGGAAGGAGGCGUGGCCGGGUCCCAGGGUGAGGACCUGGGUGGAGGGCACCCAGGACAGCACAAGCACAGAACAGCACCCGGGGCCCAGGGCUCAGCGCCUUUGGCAAUGGCCUGGGACACCUGAGCAGAAUCCCGCCACAUGACUCUGAGCCAUAAGACUUGGAGACAGUUUGCUAAAACCUUCCUAAGCCUGUUUCCUCUCCUGUAAAAUGGGGCUAAUAACCCCCAUCCCCAGGCGUGUUGUGAGAGUGAGCAGGGCCCUGUGUCCCCGUGCCUGGCCCCACGCAGGGGCCGGCUCAGUCUGGUUCCCCCCCACACACACCCUGCAGGUGACGCCUUGGACCCUGGCUCAUUAGUGGGAGGCUCAGAUGGAGCCCCGCUGAGGGGCGCAGGAUGAGGCAGGCGGCCUGGGAGAAGAAGGGCAUCCUGGCGGAGGUGGCGUGGGCUGGCCAGCAGGUACACAGGCGACCGAGAGGCGGAGGGGCAGGACUCUGGGACUCUGGCCACCCCACACGGUCCACCAUGCCUUCUGGGUUUUCUUUGUUUUCAGGAAAGCACACGGGUCACCUGGGGAUGUGUCCCUCCUGUGAGGGCCAGUAACCAUGCUCUGACCAUCCCCCUUCCCAGGCCUCUGCCAUGCCAUCCCCCCAGCCCGUCCCUCUGAUAAUAGUGACACCCCCCCACCCCUCACUCCCCCCAUAGGCGACCCCCCCACUCAGCAGGUGAUUGGCAGCUGCCACUUCCCAGCCCCCCAGCCACGGAGCCUCAUGCUUAUUCAUGACGCUGACAUAUGGCACCUCCGUGGGGGGAGGGGAUGGGAGGAAGCUGCCAAUUGAGAGAGUGCAGCGUGUCCCCAUUCGAGCCCUGUUGAAGCAAAACAAAUGCAAGAUGUGCGGGGAGCAGAGGCGGCCGGGGGUGUGCGUGUGCUGUGCGUGUGCUUGCCUGCACCGCGGGGGGCGGGGGUGGGGGAGGGAGGAAGACAGAGGGUGAGGGGGAGAGAGGGAGGCUGCAGGGCUUGGGGGGGAGCUUUGGUUGUCAUAGCUUCUGGGGUCUCAGCUAAUGGGGUCCUCAGAGGCCAAGCUGUCCAUUCCUCCGCCCCAGGCAGGCUGGCUCACACCAGCCCAAGACCCCUUUCACCUCCAUCGCCCUCACCUCGCACACGGGACGCUGGGCUGGCGGCCAGGAACAAGAUAAGGGCUUGGCCAGUAGCCCUGUGGGCACUUGAUUUAGUGUUCUCAUCUUUUCAGAAUCAGGAAAAUCUGGCUAAUGUCAAACCAGGGUCCAUAGGGCUCCAGACUUUAGGCAGUUUCUUUUACUGUUUUGUUGAGGAUGGAAGCGUGUGUGCCCUGCCACACAUCAGUGGGUGGGAGCACUGCAUUCCCCCAGCAUGUCCCUGCCCCCAGGCUGGGCUGGCCCUCCAGUGCUCUGCCGGCCACCCACGGCUACAAAGCUCUGCUCCCAAGCCGAGAGGGCAGAGCAGAGGCAAAGGCUGAAGUCUUGGGUCCUCAGCCAGCCCCUCCUCCUGGACCGAGGGUUGGAGGCUGCUGCCAUGGAAACAAGGCUCUUUGCCAACUGGCCACCUGCAUCCUGGGACCAGUAGGUGGGUCCCGGAACUGUGACCACCUUCCAGGAGGCCCAGCCCUCAGGCCCCUUGACCCUGCUCUGCCACCUGCCCCUAUUGGUUGUAAGAAGUCAGGAGAGAGGGAGAAGGGAGCGGAGGGAGCCUGGCAUGAGGCUGGGGCCCGGCAGGCCAGGGGCUGAGGCAGGGCGAGGAGCCUGCCCCGAGAGCCCCAGCCAAGGGUCCCCUGCUCGUGCAGGAGCUGGACGCUCGGAGCCCUCUGACACAAACCUUAUGCCCUCUGAACAGUGGCAGGCCCUCGGGGGUCUGUCCAUAGGGUCCACCGAGCCCCACGCUGUGGGCCUUCCAGGGAGUCAGGGCUGUAGAGCCCUGUCCCACCAGGGUGCAGCCUGCUAGAGAGCCACCCGCCCCCUAGUGCCCUCUGGGCAGCCCUGAUUCCAGCCAGGGACACCCUGGUCCCCAGCCGUGGUGCGCUGUGUGGGUGGCCUGACACCCUCCUGGCCUGGCUUUAGAUGAGGGGCCCCACGCCUGGCUGGCACACUCCCGUCCGACAGGCGUGGGGCUGUGGCGCUUCAGGCACUGCUGUGCACGGAGGCAUCUGCUGCUCACUGUCUCGGGGCAGAUGGGCUGCCAGUGAGCUAAGUGUGUGCGGGGGAAGGGGUGCCAUAGGAACCCCGUCCCUCGGCAGCGUGGGGGCGAGAGAGGCAGGCGCCCGCCCAGGGAGAGCGGGGAACGCACGGGAGGAGAGGCCAGGAUCGUGUGGGCUCCCAGUUUGGGGAGAGGCCCGUGGUGCUGGUUCCUGGGCAGGGGUCCAGGAAAUCCUGGCGGGACCACUAAGUGGAUGGGGGGCCCGGAGGCACUGGCCAGGGCAGGGGUCCCCCGCCACCACUGGCUGUGUGGGCUCGGGCAGGUCUUUUUCCUCCCGGGAUCUAAGGAGUGAGUUUGGAUCAUCCUUGGGGUGUCUUCCAGCUCCUAAACCCCGAGCUUCAGCAGGAUGGGGGGUCCUGCCAUCCGAGGGGCCUCCCGUGAGGUGAGGGGGUGGCAGCACUGGCUGCCGUGGCUCCCAGAGAGGUGCUGUGUGUCAGGCAGGGUCACUCUGCAGAGUGGGACUCGGGCCGGCUUUUACAGCCCCCCCACCCCCAACCCCGCCUACCCAGCGAGGGUCCCGCCAGGUGACGGGGGCAGGGCUGCUGGGCGGGCUGCUGGUGGAAAGCCCAGCCCACUGGUCCCUGGGCCCCCAGGGGCACUUGGGCCCACGGAGGGGGAGGUGUGAGGAGGUCCACAAGCACGCAGCCCAAGACCACCGCCGGCCGAGGGAAUGCAUGAAUGGGGCCCGCUGGACAAAGCCCCAAAUCCUGCUCUGGGAGCCCUAAGGGCUCCUCAUACAUAAUGACAGUGAGCAGAGCCACUGGGGGCCGGCUCAGCCCCCCUUCAUGUGCCAGACGCCGCCUCAUCUCAGCACCGUGGCCUUCGGUAGUUGGCGCAGUAGCAGCGGAAGGCAGCCGCUGUCCGGGUAGAUGGAGGUGGAGACGGGCUGGGAAAGAUGCUGGGGCCGGCAGAGGCCUGGGGGGCCCGCUGAUGGCUAAGCUGGGAGUGGAGCCCAAGGCCAGCUGGCUGCACAGCCCUGAUGGUCAGCUUGACCCCUUGGGCCCCGCUGCCAGGUGCCUCGCCCCUUCACAACUUCAGAAGCCCAGGGGAGGGUGCCAAGUGGGCCCAGCGCCCCUCCUCCCUCCAUCCCUGGGCGGCCCCCACCCACCCCGGAGCCGCCUCCGCCCGCCCGACUGCAGUGACUCAGCUCAGCUGUUCCCCAGCCGCUCUGCUUGCUGGUGGUUGCCGUUCUUUUUCUUUUCCAAAGCGUGAUAUUGCCCCUGUGCUGUGGCAAGGUGACUGCCUCUGCCUGGGAGUGCCCACGGUGGCCCCAGCUUGAGGUGGCCAAGGUGGCCAGCUGACCGGGCCUCACCCUCAGACUGUGCUCAUGGGCAGAGAUGGGCACCUCCAGUGCGGGCACAGUCCUCACCUUAGUUCCGCCCGACUCGGGCACAGUGCCGGAGGACACCUGUCCAAAGUCACCCUCCGCAGCUGCCUCACGACUCCAGGACCUGUGUCCUUGACAUUCUAGGUUGGACUUCGAGGGGCCAGAAACCCAGGGAGGGCAACCGGGAGGGGAUGGCCAGAGCCCCACUUUUCCAGAAAGGGGUAAAAAUGGAGAAGACGGGCAGGGGCACUGCCCAUUAUCAAGGCCAGGGGGCUGAGUUACAUGCAGAAGGAAGGGCUUCGCCUCGAUGGAGAAAGAUUCCCUGAUCCUUGAGGUUGUCCGUGGAAUUCGCCGUUUUGUUAGGUGGUGAGGUCCCUGUUCCUGGGAGGAUUUAGGCGCUGACACGGACAGGAUUCUUCAUGGGAUUGAGCCCAGUGUGGUGGAGUUGGUGGGAAGAGCAUUAAGAGCUGGAGUUGGAUGUUUGAGUUCAAUUCUCAGGUUUAUGUAAACUCAGGCAAGUCAUUCAGCCUCUCAGAGCCUUAGUCUCUUCAUCUUCGAAAUGGGCCGGCAGUAGUGAGGAUCCGAGGAGACAGGGUAGGAGGAAGGGCAGUGUAAGCUGUGGGGUGUACACCACGUUCUCAGGCUCUGGCUCUGACCCGCACCUCUGGAGGUCCUCCAUCUCUGCGAGCAUCUUCUGCCAAGGAUGGCCGUGACCCCAUCAGAAGAAAUGGCUCCAGCUCCAACAGGGAGGUUCCGGGAGAGAAAAGGAAGGGCCCUGGGAGAUGGGAAGUCGAGAGACACAAGGAUGGUGGGACCCACCCUCCUCGUGUGUUUGGGACAGGAGGGCGGCAGCUUCUCCUGCCCCCUGGACUGGAGAUCGGGGGCCUGGAGGCCUCGAGGUGAUGCGGCGUCCCUGGUGCCUGGCCUCGGGGGAAAGAUGAUGUUGGGGAGACCGGAGGGGGUGGGAAAUUCUGCGUGGGCCCCACGCCGACUCGGGGCUUCAGUAACUAAGAGGAGGUCCGACGAGGCCACGGUUGCAGGGCUGGGGCGGCUGGCAUCUCCUGCCCAAAUGCUCCUUCCCACCUCUCACCCCCGCCUCACCCCUUUCCCUCUGUAUGCGCAGUGUCCAUUUCUCAUGCUCUUGGACUGGAUCGAAUGCAGCCCCUAAAAGAUGUGUCCAUCCGGAACCUCAGAAUGUGACCCUUCUCAGAGUCUUUGCAGGUAUCAUCUGGUUCAGGAUCUGGACAGAUCGUCCUGGGUCAGGACAGGCCCUAAAUCCCAUGUCGAGGGGCAGGAGAGAAGGGCCGAGGGAGGCUUGAGGCUCGGACCCAGCAACAGCUCAUGAAGCUGGAGGCAGAGCCUGGCCUGGUGGGCGCAGCAGCCCCCGGAGGCAGGGAGAGAGGCCUGGGGUGGUUCCUCAGCAGCAGCAGCUGCUGGGAACUUAGGCUGGAAGGGCCUCUGUGAGCUCAAGGGGCUCUGAGCUGGCUCCACCCUGCCAGGCUUCCUGCCUUACGCAGCCCCACUUCUUGAGGCAGAAGACAGAGCUGGUGCCCCCUGACUCCCUUGCAGCUAGAGGGGCUCCACCCACCAGAUCGAUGAGCCCACUGACUCAGAAGCAGGCAACCCCAAAAAGCACAUCCUCCCAAACCUCUUUCCUAGCAAGGGCGGCGGCAGAGGUGCCCACCCUGUCACACGUGGGCCGCCCGGUCUGUGCCCAGUGGCAGAGGCCGUGUGGUUGGGGUGUUGCUUCUGUGCAUGCGGUCAGCUGCGUGUGAGCAGAAACUGCCUUUUCCAUUAAGCUCGCCUGGCUGGGUCCUGCUGGUUCCAAGCAGUAGGUGGGGAAAGGAGACCUCAUGCCCCAGAGAGAAGCUCCUAGAAGCCCUUCUCCUGCUAACCCUGGCUGGAUGAGAGCUGACCUCUGCCUAUGGGAGUGGAGGGGCCAAGAGGUUCCCGGGGAUCCCAGGAGGGACCAGUCACGGCCUGGGCUGGAAGCACCUGAGUCAGGACAAGCCCACCCCGCCGCGCCCCCGGGCCCUGUCCUCCCUCCCUCUGUCCUGCUCCUCUCCCCUGCACCCUUCUUAGAAAUGAAGUCAUCUAGAAAAAUA
This 6424-nucleotide long non-coding RNA is filed under the name Sus scrofa (pig). RNAcentral describes it as "lncRNA (ENSSSCG00000060610.1)". Lineage: Eukaryota; Metazoa; Chordata; Mammalia; Artiodactyla; Suidae. The record is from RNAcentral.